RNAcentral lists this ribosomal RNA (119 nucleotides) under Nannospalax galili (Upper Galilee mountains blind mole rat). Lineage: Eukaryota; Metazoa; Chordata; Mammalia; Rodentia; Spalacidae. The record is from RNAcentral.
GUACACAGCUAUACCACCCUGCAUGUACUCGAUCUGCUCUGAUCUCAGAGGCUAAGGAGGGUUGGGCCUGUUUAGUACUUGGGUGGGAGAUAUUUUGGUAAAUUAUAGUUUCGAGAACC